UCCGGUCAGGCCGCAUAGGAGUGGCGGUUCCCUUGUAAGGAACAGACGGUGGGUUCGACUCCCACGACCGGAU
RNAcentral lists this transfer RNA (73 nucleotides) under Halogranum tailed virus 1. RNAcentral describes it as "Halovirus HGTV-1 tRNA-Thr". It matches the Rfam family "tRNA". From Rfam's summary of the family: Transfer RNA (tRNA) molecules are approximately 80 nucleotides in length. Their secondary structure includes four short double-helical elements and three loops (D, anti-codon, and T loops). Lineage: Duplodnaviria; Heunggongvirae; Uroviricota; Caudoviricetes; Thumleimavirales; Halomagnusviridae. The record is from RNAcentral.